CCCGGCAAUCUCAAAAAAUUGCCCAGCCACAAUUUCUCCCAUCUAAGCCGUUUAUUUAAGUUCAUUUAAAAUAACGGCUAUUAAGGAGCCACCUCAUCGAUCCGCGUCAAACCAAAAGACAUCUUCUCCUUCCCCCAAACCUCAGUCUGCGUCCCUCUCUCAUUCUUCUCCUGAUUCUUUUAUUUUUUUUCUUACCAUUCUCCUUUCUCCUCUCUUUCUCCUGACACAUUCUCCCUUCUCCAGACAAAGUCGCUUGACCAUGGAGGUAAGGUUUUAGGCAGAAAAUUUGGGGAUGAUACUUUUGCCCGAAAAAAGUCGGAAGAAGUCGCCUGAUACCUGUACCUUUGCCCGGCGAUUUCCUCAACCUCCUAGUACCGCGAUUUUCUCGAGGCUCCGGAACCCCCAGUUCCAGAUCUGGACUCGCCUGGAGUGGUGGGGGUGGAGGACAUGAAGCGGCCACCGUCGGUUGCUCUCUAGACGGCUGGCAAAAAAUUGACUCCUAAAGUUUGCUGCGAGGGAGAAUGCGUCUGCGUCUCUGCAAGGUGGAAAUUGCAAGAAGUUGCUGGUUUAAUGCUGUUGCAGCCCUUUCAUGUUUGGUUUGUAUUCUGUUUAGCCAGAAGUAGUAAAUUAUUUAGGCCUAUGGAAUUCAACAGUUCAUUGAGUAAUUUAAUCAAACAACUUCUAUGUGGUGAAGGCCUACUCGAAGUGUAGUCUUAUUUUCAUCCAAAUUUAUUUUCAUUUUUACUA
This is a long non-coding RNA of Alnus glutinosa, 747 nucleotides long. RefSeq lists it as uncharacterized. The transcript is spliced from 2 exons. Lineage: Eukaryota; Viridiplantae; Streptophyta; Magnoliopsida; Fagales; Betulaceae. The record is from RefSeq and is a predicted model, not a curated record.